This is a long non-coding RNA of Homarus americanus (American lobster), 487 nucleotides long. RefSeq lists it as uncharacterized. The transcript is spliced from 2 exons. Lineage: Eukaryota; Metazoa; Arthropoda; Malacostraca; Decapoda; Nephropidae. The record is from RefSeq and is a predicted model, not a curated record.
CAAACAGACCGGACCGCCCCUGCGAACCACCCCUGUGUUGGCCAUGAAAAACGGUCACGUGAUCUGGUCCCUUGGUUAAGACAUCAGUUAACAAGGUUUCUGUAGAGCCAACGCGUCCAUGUCUGAACAACCACACGUUCUGAAUGCGUCCACUCAGUUUAAGUUGAGCCCACUCGGUUGAGUGAGCAGUUUGAGGGUUGGAGUGAAACCAGCUGUCUGUUGUGCAAAAUUAACGACGUGGGACCAUCGUCUGUCACCGUUUGAUGAUCGUUUGGGGUCACCAAAUCUCCUCCACCUCGGCUCACAAUACCACAUAUCUUCAAGCAGUUUAGUGAAAACCUUUUACUAAUGGGAAGCUAGAGCUCCCCUCAACUGAACAAGGUCUGAUUGGCCCACUCCCUUCCGUUUUAUGGAUGUACUGAGAGUAAAAUGAGGCUAGCUGAAUGAAUGAAUGGUCACACACUGAGACCAGGAGUCUAGUGGGUAC